UACAGAGGUUGCGAGCGUUAAUCGGAGUAACUGGGCGUAAAGGGCACGUAGGCGGUUAUAUUAGUCUGAUGUGAAAGACCUGGGCUUAACCUGGGAUGUGCAUUGGAAACGGUAUGGCUAGAGUAUGGGAGAGGGAAGUGGAAUUUCCGGUGUAGCGGUGAAAUGCGUAGAGAUCGGAAAGAACACUCGUGGCGAAGGCGGCUUUCUGGCCCAAAACUGACGCUGAGGUGCGAAAGCGUGGGGAGCAAACAGG
This 253-nucleotide ribosomal RNA is filed under the name uncultured bacterium. RNAcentral's name for it is "partial 16S ribosomal RNA". It matches the Rfam family "Bacterial small subunit ribosomal RNA", at positions 524 to 776 of the family's 1533-position model. The record is from RNAcentral.